This is a long non-coding RNA of Brienomyrus brachyistius, 169 nucleotides long. RefSeq lists it as uncharacterized. NCBI's taxonomy places the organism in Eukaryota, Metazoa, Chordata, Actinopteri, Osteoglossiformes, Mormyridae. The transcript is spliced from 2 exons. The record is from RefSeq and is a predicted model, not a curated record.
UAUCCAGCUUAUCACUCUUCUGAACAGGGAGUGUUGUGUUAUCAUCUGCUGUGGUCUUAUUGUUCUCCUUCCAGGAGUACUUGGUAUAUGUGGUGCUCUCUCCCUCACAGACCAAAGUACACUGGUUAUUGUCACAGGUUUGCCUGACACUGGGUUUGGACACUGGUUC